UUCCAGACUCCUACGGGAGGCAGCAGUGGGGAAUAUUGCACAAUGGGGGAAACCCUGAUGCAGCGACGCCGCGUGAGCGAGGAAGUAUUUCGGUAUGUAAAGCUCUGUCAGCAGGGAAGAAGAAUGACGGUACCUGAAGAAGAAGCACCGGCUAAAUACGUGCCAGCAGCCGCGGUAAUACGUAUGGUGCAAGCGUUAUCCGGAUUUACUGGGUGUAAAGGGAGCGCAGGCGGUUCUGCAAGUCUGAUGUGAAAGCCCGGGGCUCAACCGCGGGACUGCAUUGGAAACUGCGGGACUGGAGUGUCGGAGGGGUAAGCGGAAUUCCUGGUGUAGCGGUGAAAUGCGUAGAUAUCAGGAGGAACACCGGUGGCGAAGGCGGCUUACUGGACGAUGACUGACGCUGAGGCUCGAAAGCGUGGGGAGCAAACAGGAUUAGAUACCCUGGUAC
This 448-nucleotide ribosomal RNA is filed under the name uncultured bacterium. RNAcentral describes it as "bacterial SSU rRNA". It matches the Rfam family "Bacterial small subunit ribosomal RNA", at positions 329 to 793 of the family's 1533-position model. The record is from RNAcentral.